Molecule: long non-coding RNA, 397 nt
Organism: Apis dorsata (giant honeybee)
Lineage: Eukaryota; Metazoa; Arthropoda; Insecta; Hymenoptera; Apidae
Exons: 3
Source: RefSeq, a predicted model, not a curated record
GUAUGAGGAAGAAGGAGGAAAAGGAGGAGGAGGUGGAGGAGGAAGAGGAGGAGGAGGAGGUGUACUUGUAUCCCGUGGGAUUGGGAACGGACGUCUCUAUCGGCGCGCUCUUUUAUAAAUAUUUAUCCUCGUUUGAAUCCAUCGGGAAGUUCUUUCUCUGUCUCUCUCUCUCUCUCUCUCUCUAUGACGGCUUCAUCCCUUUCCCGAUUCUUUUUCGUUUCCGUUAGUGGGUCUCCGGGAAAGAAGCUGGUAUGCUCUUCUUGGCUAUGCAACUCUUGGAUUCGGAGACUUUUGCGUGUUUGUUCUCUGAAAUCUUUUAUGGCUCGGAUCUUUGGAUCCGUGACAGUAGCAAGAUAUCACAGGUAUUUUAAAUUAUUUCAAAUGGGAUAUUUUUAUU